AAAAAAUGAAAUAAGUGUGGU
This 21-nucleotide non-coding RNA is filed under the name Caenorhabditis elegans. The record is from RNAcentral. Lineage: Eukaryota; Metazoa; Nematoda; Chromadorea; Rhabditida; Rhabditidae.